RNAcentral lists this ribosomal RNA (402 nucleotides) under uncultured Devosia sp. RNAcentral describes it as "bacterial SSU rRNA". It matches the Rfam family "Bacterial small subunit ribosomal RNA", at positions 353 to 772 of the family's 1533-position model. Lineage: Bacteria; Pseudomonadati; Pseudomonadota; Alphaproteobacteria; Hyphomicrobiales; Devosiaceae. The record is from RNAcentral.
AGUGGGGAAUAUUGGACAAUGGGCGAAAGCCUGAUCCAGCCAUGCCGCGUGAGUGAUGAAGGCCUUAGGGUUGUAAAGCUCUUUCACCGAUGAAGAUAAUGACGGUAGUCGGAGAAGAAGCCCCGGCUAACUUCGUGCCAGCAGCCGCGGUAAUACGAAGGGGGCUAGCGUUGUUCGGAUUUACUGGGCGUAAAGCGCACGUAGGCGGAUCGUUAAGUCGGGGGUGAAAUCCUGGAGCUCAACUCCAGAACUGCCUUCGAUACUGGCGAUCUUGAGUCCGGAAGAGGUGAGUGGAACUCCUAGUGUAGAGGUGGAAUUCGUAGAUAUUAGGAAGAACACCAGUGGCGAAGGCGGCUCACUGGUCCGGUACUGACGCUGAGGUGCGAAAGCGUGGGGAGCAAA